Stegodyphus mimosarum is the source of this 73-nucleotide non-coding RNA. The record is from Rfam. NCBI's taxonomy places the organism in Eukaryota, Metazoa, Arthropoda, Arachnida, Araneae, Eresidae.
GCCUUUGUGGUGUAGUGGUCAGCACGCUCGACGCGUAACCGAGAGGUCCAUGGUUCGAUUUCCGGCGAAGGCG